UUUCAAUCCGCUAAUGAUAGUGUUUGAUAGUUAGCGGAUUGAAAUAAAGGUUUGGCCUCAAAAAGCUAAUUUUCAAAAAGCUACUUUGAGGAGCUUUUUGGGUUAGCGGUUUUGAUAUGUGUCAUAAAAAGCUAAUGAAACAGCUAUUUACCAAACAGUUUUACACGAAACCGCUAAUUCAAUCCGCUAGUCAAAACAUCUAUUUCAAUCAGCUAGUCAAAACAUCUAAUUCAACCCGCUAACAGCUAACCGCUAACAGCUAAUUCC
Molecule: long non-coding RNA, 267 nt
Filed under: Daucus carota (carrot)
Lineage: Eukaryota; Viridiplantae; Streptophyta; Magnoliopsida; Apiales; Apiaceae
Description: long non-coding RNA (DCAR_LNC000396)
Source: RNAcentral